This 497-nucleotide ribosomal RNA is filed under the name uncultured bacterium. Its description in RNAcentral is "partial 16S ribosomal RNA". It matches the Rfam family "Bacterial small subunit ribosomal RNA", at positions 28 to 507 of the family's 1533-position model. The record is from RNAcentral.
GAUGAACGCUGGCGGCGUGCCUAAUACAUGCAAGUCGAGCGAACGGACGAGAAGCUUGCUUCUCUGAUGUUAGCGGCGGACGGGUGAGUAACACGUGGAUAACCUACCUAUAAGACUGGGAUAACUUCGGGAAACCGGAGCUAAUACCGGAUGAUAUUUUGAACCGCAUGGUUCAAAAGUGAAAGACGGUCUUGCUGUCACUUAUAGAUGGAUCCGCGCUGCAUUAGCUAGUUGGUAAGGUAACGGCUUACCAAGGCAACGAUGCAUAGCCGACCUGAGAGGGGGAGGGCCAAAACGGGAACGGGGCAGGGCACAAGCCCCGUAGGGGAGGAACGAGAGGGGAAUGUUGCGCAAGGGGGGAAGGCGGGACGGGGCACCGCGGGGGGAGGAAGAAGGGUUUCGGAUUCGAAAACUUGGUUGUUGGGGAAAAAAAAUAGGUGGAGUGAAAUGUGCACAUUGUGACGGUAUCUAAUCAGAAAGCCACGGCUAACUACGGG